RNAcentral lists this non-coding RNA (53 nucleotides) under unclassified sequences. RNAcentral's name for it is "L31-Gammaproteobacteria ribosomal protein leader". It matches the Rfam family "L31-Gammaproteobacteria ribosomal protein leader". The record is from RNAcentral.
CGUAUGGUGUACAGCUUCGGGUUGUAUAGCGAUACGGCCUAAAUUUAUAAGGU